RNAcentral lists this ribosomal RNA (348 nucleotides) under Spinarge aff. fulvicornis P LAMA-2021a. Its description in RNAcentral is "partial large subunit ribosomal RNA". The record is from RNAcentral. Lineage: Eukaryota; Metazoa; Arthropoda; Insecta; Hymenoptera; Argidae.
AUAAUAAUUAGUCUUUUAAAUGAAGGCUGGAAUGAAUGAUUGGACGAGGUAAAUUCUGUCUCAUUAAAAUUAAAAUUUAAAUUUAAUUUUUAAGUUAAAAAGCUUAAAUAUUAUUAAAGGACGAGAAGACCCUAUAGAGCUUUAUAAUAUACUUAUGAAUAAAUUUUAAUUUUAUUUUAUUAAUUAAAUAUUAUUUUGUUGGGGCGAUAGGAAAAUUUAUUUAACUUUUUUAAUUUUAUUACAUUUAUUUAUGAGUUUUUGAUCCUAAAUUUUAGAUUAUUAGAUUAAGUUACCUUAGGGAUAACAGCGUAAUUUUUUUUUAGAGUUCAUAUUAAUAAAAAAGAUUGC